This 903-nucleotide ribosomal RNA is filed under the name Argopecten purpuratus. RNAcentral describes it as "12S ribosomal RNA". The stretch from base 93 to 903 matches the Rfam family "Microsporidia small subunit ribosomal RNA". The record is from RNAcentral. Lineage: Eukaryota; Metazoa; Mollusca; Bivalvia; Pectinida; Pectinidae.
UGUUAGUUUGGUUCUGGUUACCAAGCUUAGUUUACAUCUAGUCGAUUAACACAUGGCAGUAAAAGCGUAGAAUGAGUGAGGUGAGGGCCCAAGAAAGGGGCGGUGGCCCCUUUCUUGGGCUGUCCGCGUAUAUAAUCAGAAAAUUUCGAUGACUAUCAAUAGAAUUCAUACCUCCAGUGGAUAGACUUUAACACAUAAGCGAAAGCUUGAUUAAGCUAUGAUGAGUAAGAGGAGUCCAACCAGGUGCCAGCAGUCGCGGUUAAACCUGAGUAACUCAAAUUAAGCUAUAAGCGUAAAAGGUGGAUUGGCAACGAGAAAGGGGGAGCUAAGGAAGGCGAGGCUAGGAAGAGGGGUGCAAUCUUUAUUCCUACGAAAAGUGUAAACCUUCCUUUAGGCUGUUUCCACGGAACCGGUGGGGGAGACAUGGAUUAGAGACCCAUUUAUUACCGAUGAAAACUUUGCUUCUCGUUGCUGCUUGGGUACUACGAGCAUGUGCUUAAAACUCAAAGAACUUGGCGGCUUGUUAACUACCUAGGGGAAUAUGUGCCUUAAUCCGAUAGUCCUCGACAUAUUUUACUGGGCCUUGAAAAAACAGUUGGUGUAUUGCCGUUGUCAGCUUGUUGUUGAGCAGAGAGAAACAGGCUUAAAGGAUUCGUCUGGGAGCAGAUGGAUUCCGUGAAUUCAGGUCGUAAUACUGCCUAUGGCUCUAGGGAGUGGGUGUUACAAUUUUUAAUUAAAAUACGGAUCUUUUUAUGAAAAAAAAGUGAAGGUGAACUUAGGAGUAAGGGAAGAUUAGCAUGCUCCCCUGAACGUGAAUCUAGCUUGUGUACAAACUGCCCGUCGCUCUCGGUAAGAGCUGAGAUAAGUCGUAACAAGGUAGGGGUACUGGAAGGUGCGCCCUGA